Molecule: long non-coding RNA, 597 nt
Filed under: Linum usitatissimum (flax)
Lineage: Eukaryota; Viridiplantae; Streptophyta; Magnoliopsida; Malpighiales; Linaceae
Description: long non-coding RNA (LUSI_LNC006189)
Source: RNAcentral
AAAGAAAGGAAAAUCAUAUCGAGUGAUGAGGCGGAAAUCGUUAAGCUACCAGAGGAAAAGGAAAGAAGAGUAUAUUAGCAUAUGCCUCUGUCGCAUCUCUCGAUCUCUAGUAGAUUAAUCGAAUCAAAAUCUCGAUCUAGGAUCUGAUGUCAAGGAAGUACCGCACCACAAUCCGCCAACACUAAGAGAAAUUGUCGUCGAGGUAGUGUGGGUGUUGUGACCGUCGGAAUUGCGAGGAGAACGAAACUCAGAGGUUUGUUCGUCUUGCCAUUAUGGCGUCGUAUCUGGCAGAGAAGAAUCUGGCGCCGAAGAGCUUUUGAUCGGCGCAGUGAAAAUAUGGUGGUGCUGAUCUCCAUCGAUUUGGAGGUGAAGAAUUGACAGUUGAGGUGGUGAUUUGGCAUUGCAGCGGCUGUGAAUAAUUGGAGAAAAAUACGUUUGCGGAGAGAGGGGUUUAGGUUUAAUGCAAAUCCUUAAAAAAAAUAUAAAAAAUAAAAUAUUUGUACAGUACCAAAAAUACUCCUCCAAUUAGAAUUCUGGACAUCCUGGAACUAAUACAUCGUAUAAUUUAAAUUGCUCCAGAAACAAAACCCAAAAAAG